This 253-nucleotide ribosomal RNA is filed under the name uncultured bacterium. RNAcentral describes it as "partial 16S ribosomal RNA". It matches the Rfam family "Bacterial small subunit ribosomal RNA", at positions 524 to 776 of the family's 1533-position model. The record is from RNAcentral.
UACAGAGGUCUCAAGCGUUGUUCGGAUUCAUUGGGCGUAAAGGGUGCGUAGGUGGCGCGGUAAGUCGGGUGUGAAAUUUCGGAGCUUAACUCCGAAACUGCAUUCGAUACUGCUGUGCUUGAGGACUGGAGAGGAGACUGGAAUUUACGGUGUAGCAGUGAAAUGCGUAGAUAUCGUAAGGAAGACCAGUGGCGAAGGCGAGUCUCUGGACAGUUACUGACGCUGAGGCACGAAGGCCAGGGGAGCAAACGGG